GACGAACGCUGGCGGCGUGCUUAACACAUGCCAGUCGAACGGAAAGGCCCUGCUUUUGUGGGGUGCUCGAGUGGCGAACGGGUGAGUAACACGUGAGUAACCUGCCCUUGACUGUGUGAUAACUUCAGGAAACUGGGGCUAAUACCGGAUAGGAGCUCCUGCUGCAUGGUGGGGGUUGGAAAGUUUCGGCGGUUGGGGAUGGACUCGCGGCUUAUCAGCUUGUUGGUGGGGUAGUGGCUUACCAAGGCUUUGACGGGUAGCCGGCCUGAGAGGGUGACCGGCCACAUUGGGACUGAGAUACGGCCCAGACUCCUACGGGAGGCAGCAGUGGGGAAUAUUGCACAAUGGGCGGAAGCCUGAUGCAGCAACGCCGCGUGCGGGAUGACGGCCUUCGGGUUGUAAACCGCUUUCGCCUGUGACGAAGCGUGAGUGACGGUAAUGGGUAAAGAAGCACCGGCUAACUACGUG
RNAcentral lists this ribosomal RNA (468 nucleotides) under uncultured bacterium. Its description in RNAcentral is "partial 16S ribosomal RNA". It matches the Rfam family "Bacterial small subunit ribosomal RNA", at positions 28 to 507 of the family's 1533-position model. The record is from RNAcentral.